Non-coding RNA from Ictidomys tridecemlineatus (thirteen-lined ground squirrel), 113 nucleotides. Lineage: Eukaryota; Metazoa; Chordata; Mammalia; Rodentia; Sciuridae. The record is from Rfam.
UUUAAGUGGUCUUCCUUCCAGAACCUCUGCCCUGGGAAGGCAUCGCAGCCCCAGAAUUUGGUUAUGCAGGGCUGACUAAUGACGCCAGAUCGGGAAGGCAGUUUGUUUGCAAG